GUCUGAAUAGCCUGAAGUGAAUAACCUUUAUUGGCUGGGGUGACGGAAAAGACCAGACUCUCCGCUAGGUAACAUUCUCAUUCGCAAUGGUUAUGAAAGAGCACCAUAAUUUGCCAUACAGGUAGACGUGAGGGCAGUGGCGCGGGCUGCCUUGAAUGAACCAGCUGAAUAACUCCUCGUUCUGGAGAUGAUGUAUUCUUUUCAGUGUCUAAUUAACAACAACCGUUCAUGUCCUCUUUAAAUACAUCAGAGACCUUUUCCUGUAUUCACGCUGCUGCAAUGAAAGCUUAGUGAUUCUUGGUACGCUUAAUUACCUCCGGGAAGAUUAUGAGGCGCGGGGAGGGAAGGUGAGGCGGGCAGGGAGGGGCAGAGGGGAAAGUAGGGUAGACUCGCAGUGGUGGUGGCGGUGGCGGCGGUGGUGGCAGUGGGCCGGCCAAGGGCUCAGUGUGUGUGGGAACGGUUCUGGGUACGGGCAGGCGGGCGGGUUGGCUUCUCCUGGCGGCGGUGGUGUCAGCUGUGGUAGUGGUGGUGGUGGUGGUGAUGGUGGUAGUGUCCCAGUCUCGGUGGUAGUGGUUGAGGUGGAAGGCGAGCUGGCUACAUCUACACCGUCGUGCCUCUGCCUUUCUUCCAGAUUGUGUGUCCCAGCCAACGGGAAGAUGACCUCCGGGGUGUGACGAGGGCAGGCCAGGUCAUCAUGGUGGGGAUAAACAAGGUCAAGGCCACCAUGACUCAGCUGACCCCUCCCUCCUCCUUCGGCUUCUGAAGGGGAGCAACGAGGGAGCGACGCCCCUGAGCCACAGUGAACGAGAGGCGGAGUGGUAGUGGUGACCUUGUGAGGGUGUAGUGAGGCGCUGCGGCCCGCGGGUCUUGGUGGCAGUGGCAGUGUUGCAUGUAAAAAAUUGGCUUAAAAGGAAAAAAAUUCUGAAUAAUCUGGAAAUAAGAGGACAGAAAAUUGAUUGUUUGAUUGUGAAUUUGAUUGUGAAUUCAAACCACGUCAAGUGGACAGUACGAGGCCAGGAGGCGUGUGGGCCCCGCCUCCCGUGUGUGUUGUCUGGAGACCGCGGGGAGGAGGUCAAGGCCUCUCCCUGCCUUUAGGGCGCCGCCGCCAUGGAGACGCAGCGAAGGAUGUUGCUGCUCUUCGUUCUUCUUUUAGGUGAG
Scylla paramamosain (green mud crab) is the source of this 1158-nucleotide long non-coding RNA. RefSeq lists it as uncharacterized. NCBI's taxonomy places the organism in Eukaryota, Metazoa, Arthropoda, Malacostraca, Decapoda, Portunidae. The record is from RefSeq and is a predicted model, not a curated record. The transcript has 2 exons.